AACCUUAUAGUAUAUAAAUAAUUACUGUAAACUGCAACUUUACCAAAGCUUCAGUGCUAAGGUUU
This 65-nucleotide transfer RNA is filed under the name Pyganodon grandis (giant floater mussel). RNAcentral describes it as "tRNA-Cys". The record is from RNAcentral. Lineage: Eukaryota; Metazoa; Mollusca; Bivalvia; Unionida; Unionidae.